This is a long non-coding RNA of Strigops habroptila (Kakapo), 359 nucleotides long. RefSeq lists it as uncharacterized. The record is from RefSeq and is a predicted model, not a curated record. Lineage: Eukaryota; Metazoa; Chordata; Aves; Psittaciformes; Psittacidae. The transcript is spliced from 3 exons.
GGUAUUCAUCUGGUGGAGCUGUUUCUUAUUUCCUGUCUGACAGACUCCCUUUCCUGCUGCUUCCAGCCCAACAUGCUCUUCUCAUGAAUGGGCAGGUGUAGGAUCAGCGGGAUCAGGACACAGAGCUGCUUUUGUUAGGUCUGCGCCUGAUUUCUCCAGGUGAUGAGCAGUUGGUACUAAAAGAGAACGUCAGGAAGUGGUGAGAGGCCUGGUAGCCAGAUUUGCAGGGCUCUAGUGCCUGUCCCUGGGAGCAGACCAUGAGAUUGACACUCAAGCCAGCCUUUGGGAAACAAGAGGGAACUAGUCAUGAGCACCCAAAGAAGUUCUGGCAUGACCAGGCUUUCAGAAAUGUUAGCAGA